Molecule: long non-coding RNA, 5880 nt
Filed under: Sus scrofa (pig)
Lineage: Eukaryota; Metazoa; Chordata; Mammalia; Artiodactyla; Suidae
Description: lncRNA (ENSSSCG00000060374.1)
Source: RNAcentral
UUUUUUUUUUUUUUCUUUUUCAGGGCUACACCUGCAGCAUAGGGAAGUUCCCUGACUAGGGGUCGAAUCAGAGUUACAGCUGCCAGUCUAUGCCACAGCCACAGCCACACAGGAUCCAAGCCACAUCUGCGACCUACACCACAGUUCAUGGCAAUGCUGGAUCCUUAACCCACUGAGUGAGGCCAGAGAUCGAACCCACAUCCUCAUGGAUACUAGUUGGGCUCAUUAUCACUGAGCCACCACAGGAACUUCCUCAACUUGCCCUUUAUGAGCCUCAGUUUCCACAUCUCUAAGGAAGAAAUUCAAGAAUCACUAAGGUCUUUUCCAGUCUAGACAUUUCAUACAGAGGGAUUUUAAGGCUAAAGGUCAAAGGGAAAGAUCCUCUAAGUUUGGCUAAAACCAAGUUACUUUGUUGAACUCGUGAAGGGUCUGUAUUCUGGAGUCUAUCUCCUGCUUUCCGAAAUCAGGAUUUCAAGACCUGCUCUCCUCAUACAACAAUCUCUAUGUCUGACAAUUUCACCUCCUAAAUCGUUGCUCAUGUCCAUCCACUGGAAUCCAUCUGCCCCUCUCCAUUUCUGCUGCCUUCAGUUUAGGCCCAGCCAUCAUCUCUUACCUGGAUUAUUCCAAGGGGCUUGGAAUUGUACCCACUUUAUCCUUUACAUGGCAGUCAUCAGAAUCAUUCUAAAAUGCAAAACAUGUCACUCUCUAAAACAUGUCAGUAUCUUACCACAGUCUAUAGAAGAAGAAAAAAAAAAAGCCCUCCUUCACAACCAACUUCUUCUUUCAUUUCCACUGCCUCAUUUUUCACUGUCUUCUAUCAUAAACUUCAUGCUCUAAGAAUGCCACAUUCUGCAAUGCCAUGUCAUGCCACUGAAUCCUCCAAACAAUUGCUUUGGCUGUCCUUUCUGCCAGGAAUGUGCUGCCCUCCUCUUUCAGAUUGGUUGCUCUUAUUCAUGCACCCUCUGAGCUGGAUGACUUCUUGAACCCUGUUUGGAACAACUGUCCAUGUUAUGUGCUUCCAUAAUACCCUGUUCAUACCUUUUGCUUAUCACUGGCUGAAUCAUUUUUAAGCUGUCAAAAACAUCGGCGUUUAGAAGGUACACUUAGGAUUCAAAGCUGGUAAAGGAGACUCAGAGGGAGAAACCAUGGUAGAUGGGCACCAGGAGAGUGUGGCAGCAGAAAAGCCAACCCAAAAAGGAGUUUUUAAAAAGAUGAGAACAUAAAGAGCACUGCUAAAACUCAACAACAAUAAAACAAACAAAUUCAAAAAUGGGCAAAGGACUUAUUUUUCCAAAGAAAAUACAUGUAAACAGCCAAUAGCACAUGAAAAGAUGGUCAGCCUCACUCAUCAUUAGGGAAAUGCAAAUAGAAACUACAAUGAUAUAUUCCUUCACAUCUAUUAGAAUGGCUGCUAUCAAAAAAAAAAAAACCGAGAAAAUAAUAAGUGUUGAUGAAAACUAUGUGGGGAAAUUGGAACUGCUAUGCACUAUUUCUGGAAAUAUAAAAUGGUAUAGCUACUGUAGGAAACAAUAUAUGGCAGUGUCUCAAAAAAUUAAAAAUAGAGUUACUAUAUGAUCCGGCAAUUCUGCUUCUGGUAUACAUCCAAAAAGAAUUGAAAACAGGGACUCAAACAGAUAUUUGUUCACAGCUGGAUUAUUCACAAUAGCUGAAACAUGGAAACAAUCAGUGUCCAUCUACAGAUAAAUAGAUUUUUUUAAAUGUUGUAUAUGUACAAAGUGGAAUAUGAUUUAGUUUUUAAAAGGAAGAAAAUUCAGACAUAUGGAUGAAGUUUAAGGACAUCAUGCUAAGUGGAAUAAGCCAGUUCUAAAAAGACUAAUACUGUAUGAUUCUUGUUAUGUAUACUUUGUAACGUACCUAGAGCAGCCAAAAUUAAAGAGAAAGUAGGAACAGAGGGAAGGGAAAAUGGGGAGUUACUGUUUAAUGGGUUUAAAGUUUCAGUUUUACAAGAUGGAAAGAGUUCUGGAAAUGGAUGGUGGCGACGGUUACAAAAUAGUAUGUAUUUAAUGUCCCUGAGAUGUACAAUUAAAAACAUUUAAGCUGGUAUAGUUUAUGUUAUGUAUAUUCUACCACAACAAAACCAUUGGAUAAGAAACAAACAUGGAGUUGAUCUGUAUAAAAUUCUGCUUGGACAUCCAGCGAAAUGCGUUCUGAAAAGUGACCACUGGAUUGGGCAAUACAGAAACCCUUGGUGAUCUCAGAAGUUUUUUUGAUGUGCUGACCAAUGGAAGAACACACAGAUUUGUUUAUUUACUGAUCUCAGUUGUUGCCUAGAGCUUGCUAGCUUUCAGACACAGAGGUUUAUAGGAGCACAAUCUUUUGCAAUUUUUGUUUAAUGAGAUUGUGUCUUAUGUUAGAGGAAGCCAAAGUAGAUUCAAAGUGAGAGCUCUAUAGGGCAGGCCACUGUGGCCUCUUCAGGGGUCCUUUGCCUUCUAGCAGGAGCGAGAAAUUCUGAAAAAUCUAAUCACAACAGUAAGCAUCAGAGAUGGGUUUUUCUUGCCCGCAGGAGGGUUGGCAUCAGAGGCAGGUUUCAGAGAACCUCGAUCAGAGAAGCCAAUGGAUCAGACCCAUUUGGAGAGAGAGGCUCCGUUUCCCUCUCUGCCUUGAUACAGCUGCAGAAAUGGGCCUCCGAAGACAAGGGCAUGAAAACCACAUGCCCUGUUAGGGUCUGUAAGGCUUAAGCCUCUGGUUUCCUCUCCUAUAGCCCUCUCCCUGGUUUUCUAGGCUCUGACCCUCCUGGCCCAUCUUAAACACCCCAAAGUAUUCCAUUUGCUUAAAAUUCUCCAAGAUCCUUGUAAAUUUGGCUCCUUCUUGUCACCCUGAUUUCAGAUCGAAUGUUCUCCCCUCAGAGAGGCCUUCUAUAAUCACCAUGGUCAUGGUACCCUCAACCCCAGUCAACUUCUAGCCCACCCUCUGAUAGUAUUCUCUUCACAGCAUUAAUAUCUCCAAGAGCUAGCCUCGCUGAUCUGUGUGUUUGGCUAGUUAUUGUCCGUCUCUCUUUAUUAGAUGGUUAGACUCCUGAUGGGCAGGGGGCCAUCACUUCCUGCACUGAUAUAUCUUUAUUAACCCAAAAGCACCCAGCAAAGAUUAGGCAUUCUGUUAAAUGAGUGUGUAAAUAAAGGUUUUCAGGUGACCACAAAUGUUUAGUCCUAAGUCAAGGUUUAUACAUCUCCAACUACUGUAUCUCCUAAUGACUCCUUGGGGCUCCCCCAAAUGCUAGAGUCUUUCCGCAGAAAGAUAUGAUCCAGUGAGUGGUCCUUAGGCUGCAUUAGAACUACUAGGGUUUAAAAGGUGGUUUCAGGGCUUUAUCCCCAGAGAUUCUGUAUGAGUGGGUUGGGGUGGGGCUCUGCCCUCUGUAAGAGAUCCUGAUGCCACAAGCAGACCAUUCUUGGAGAAUGCAGUUCUAUACAUCAUCAUGCCUCAUAGACCAAACUGUGGCACCUCAGAGCCUGAUGUAUGCCUGAAUUGAUUUAUGGAUGGAUGGAUGGAUGGACAGAUGGACGGACGUAUGGAUUAUAACUCUUAUAGGCCAAGCAAUGUAAAAGGAAGGCAACAGACCAUGAUGCUCUUUCUAGGCCAACACUGCAGGAGAAACUGAGGCAGAAGGGUUAUUUAAGAUGUCUGAUAGAGAGAAAAAUCAGAAGCCUUGAUUGUUGUAAUUUAGAGAUGGUCUUUAAAACACAACACAAUUGGGGCUUAGUUCAACGGAUGCUUUCAGGUCCCUCAGAAUUGGGGCUCAAUUCUGGAUCACAAGUGUGAUCUUGGCAGUUAUAGUUUGGCAUGAGGUUUUUGAUAAGCACAAAAUAAUUAGAACAAGCAUCUGAUAUGUUUCAGUACUUUCUACACAUUAACUCUUAAUUCUUGAAACAACCCGAGACGUACUUGUCUGCAUUUUACAAUAAAGGGGGGGGGAGGUAGUUGAGAUAGGAAAAGUAGCCUAAGCAGCCUUGUCCAAGUCAAGGUAAUGGGCAGGGAUUUGACCUCAGGUUUCCUUGGAUCCAAAGUCCAUGCUUCUUCCACUCUACAGCCCAGGUGAGGCAUGUUUUGCUUCCUCAAGAUCAAAGUUUGGGGUGUUUGGUGUCUGCAUAAGUAUGUACAGAAGAGUAUAGAGGCCCAUGGCAGCCCGUGUGUUGUGUUUCGGACCGUGUCUCUGUGGGUACCUGUACCUGUGGGUUCCUCUGUCCCUACCUGUGUUUGAAUCCCCAGGCCAGUACCUGUGUUAGGGUGCUGGAAAAUAAGAAAGGAGAACAAGUCAAUGAAGUGGAGUAUUUAAAUGAAAUAUUCAAUAACCACAAUCUGUGCAUCUUCCCCAGAGGGGGCUUAGGGACAUGGAUUUUUACACACAGAGAGGAAAAAGUCCAUCUCCCCAACUUCCCAAGAGAGGAACCCUUCCUAUAAGCAGAUUCUUAUGAUACCCGGUGCUUAAGAUUCUCCUUUUAGAUUGUGGGUAGUUUUUAAAGGGAGAUUUAAGCUAGGGUUUUACACAUUCUCCAAGUGCUUUUCUAAGGAGUAAGACUUCCACCAUCUUGGCCAUUUCAUUUUCACAUAGAUCUGUGAUAUCCUCUCUCUGUUCAAAUUAAAUAUAUUUCAUUUUAUUUGUUUGCUGCCUCCUAGGAUUUCUUUCACAGGGCUACACCCACAGCAUAUGGAGGUUCUGAGUCUAGGGGUCCAAACGGAGCUGUAGCUGCUGGCCUAUACCACAGCCACAGCAACAUGAGAUGUGAGCCACAUCUGCAACGUACACCACAGCUCGUGGCAAUGCUGGAUCUUUAGCCCACUGAGCGAGGCCAGGGAUUGAACCUGUAACCUCAUGGUUCUUAGUCAGAUUCAUUUCCACUGUUCCAGACAGGAACUCCCAAAAUAAAUUUCCAAGGCUCCUCCUCUGGGUGUCUGUCCUCCUCCCACUGAAUCUAUAGAGGAGCACAUCUCUGGUUCUGCUCACCCCUCAGAGCAUCAGUAAAGGAAGGGAGGAAGGGAACUCUUCUAACAAGAGAAAUGCAGGAAGCGAUGGGGCAGUAGACGUCCAUCCACAUCGGCUCCUGCCAGGCACUGUCUCUGACACACACCCUCCAGGCUUUGCCUCUCCCCUGGUUAAUUCCCUUCAAAGGCUUCUCAACGAAUGGACUGGGCUGGGCCUGCCCACCCUCCACGAAGGUGACACAUUGGCCACCUUCCAGUCCCUCGGAAGCAUCAAGCACUUUCCUGCCUUGUGAUCCUCCACACACGGUUGCCUUAUCCCCUGCACAACCCCCUGCCUAGUCAAUUCCUACUGGUCCCUCAGGGCUCAACUCAGAGAGGUGCUCCACUUAGGAAAAGUCUUUUUUGGUCUCCUUUUACCCACCCAAGGCCAGAUCCACCUUCUGCAAACUUUCAGUGUACUCAGGCUCAGUUAGCUGUGUCAUCUAGUUUUAUGAUGACUGUCUCACUCAAACAAAGAAAGCUCCCUCAGGAUGGGACCAUGCCUAUUUUGUUCACCUGUGCAUGUCCAGGGCUUAUAAUAGGCUUUUCAUUUAGCAGGUAGAAAAAGAGUAAACAUUUAUUGAGUGAAGAAAUAAACGAGCCUCAGGUUCCUCAUCUGUAAAGUAGCGAUAACAAUAAAACUCCUAUGAGGAUUAAAGGAGAUAAGAGAAGUGACACUGCCUGACCCAUAACAAGAUUUUUCUUUGUUUUCUUGGUUGUUCAUUCCCUAAAUAAAGGAGCUCAAAAAUGAAAUCAGCUGCCUCCUAGGAUUGUAAGCUUUCUGCCAUUGGAGGCCUUUGAGCACAAGCUGGAUAACAAUUUUGCAGGGAUAUUGUAGAAGGUUGGUCAGUGAGUCUGGAUGAGUGGUUCUCAAUUUUCCCUGCACAGUAGAAUCAACAGGAG